ACGGUUACCUUGUUACGACUUAGCCCCAGUCACCGGUAUUGCCUUAGGACGCUCCUUGCGGUCACGCACUUCAGGCACUCCCGGCUUCCAUGGCUUGACGGGCGGUGUGUACAAGGCCCGGGAACGUAUUCACCGCGCCGUGGCUGAUGCGCGAUUACUAGCGAAUCCAGCUUCAUGGAGUCGGGUUGCAGACUCCAAUCCGAACUGAGACAGGUUUUCGGGUUCCGCGCCCUGUCGCCAGGUGGCUUCCCGCUGUACCUGCCAUUGUAACACGUGUGUCGCCCCGGACGUAAGGGCCGUGCUGAUUUGACGUCAUCCCCGCCUUCCUCGCAGCUUGCGCCGGCAGUCCCGCCAGAGUCCCCAGCUUUACCUGCUGGCAACUGGCGGUAGGGGUUGCGCUCGUUAUGGCACUUAAGCCGACACCUCACGGCACGAGCUGACGACAACCAUGCAGCACCUCGACACAGACCAUUGCUGGCUACCUCCUUUCAAAAGUAUUCCUGUGUCGUUUGAGCCCGGGUAAGGUUCCUCGCGUAUCAUCGAAUUAA
This 548-nucleotide ribosomal RNA is filed under the name uncultured bacterium. RNAcentral's name for it is "partial 16S ribosomal RNA". The record is from RNAcentral.